Molecule: unclassified non-coding RNA, 672 nt
Filed under: Hevea brasiliensis (rubber tree)
Lineage: Eukaryota; Viridiplantae; Streptophyta; Magnoliopsida; Malpighiales; Euphorbiaceae
Source: RNAcentral
GACUCCCUCAAUCUAUCCAUCUAUGGCUACCUCGCUUUCUCUCUCCAACUUCCUUUCCUUCCUCUUUCCUUCAAACCCACCUCCCAAAACCUCACCCCAACUCUCCUUCUCUUCUCCACCAACUCAAUUAUUAUCGCGAAAGUCUAAUGAUAAGUUGAUUCCACUGGUGGCCCAACAAAGUCAUUCUGGUUCUUUAUCCGCUGAAUUGUCCUCGGUUAUCUGUCCGUCUCUUGCAUAUGCGAAUACCCUUUUCUUCAAAUCGGCUUACAAUGUCCAGGUGAUCGUCGAUGAGAACGAGCCUGAAGAGAGGCUGUUGAAUAGGUUCAGGAGGGAGGUUUUGAGGGCUGGUGUCAUUCAAGAGUGUAAGAGGAGGAGGUUCUUUGAGAACAAGCAAGACGAGAAGAAACGCAAGUCCCGUGAGGCAGCUAAGCGUAAUAAGAAAAGGCGCUUCCAAUCGAGACCCACAACCCAAAACAAGCUCGAAACAUCCACAAGUAAGAAGGAGGAGGAUGAUGAAGAUAACUGGGACAUGCCUGAAGGAGGCCUUCCUUAUUAAAUAUUUUACCUUGCCUAUUGACUGUAGCAUUUUCACAUUUGACUGUAAGAGGCUUGUUUUUUCCUUUAAAGUUGGUCAAUUAAAUCAUGUCAAAUGGUCAAAGAACAUGAUUUAAU